GUACUUUCCUGAAAAGGCAGAUAAUGAUAAAGAAGGUGGUUUUCUGGGAUGAGACCUCCAUUCCACUCCAAAUGUGCUGACCACUUCAGUUUCCCCAGAUGCAAGAAACUCAGCUGCAUAAUUUGUGGGAGAGGGAGACUGCCUUCCC
RNAcentral lists this small nuclear RNA (148 nucleotides) under Mus caroli (Ryukyu mouse). RNAcentral's name for it is "predicted gene, 24547 (MGP_CAROLIEiJ_G0034702.1)". Lineage: Eukaryota; Metazoa; Chordata; Mammalia; Rodentia; Muridae. The record is from RNAcentral.